CUAAGUGUGCAAAUGUACACUGUCUGCAUCUAACUUUAUAAGGGCUCUAGGGAUCUGAACUUGGGUCCUCAUAGUUGUGUGGUAAGAGUUUUACCCACUGAGCCAUCCUCCUACCCCAUGCCGUGUGUGAGGUUCAGAUGAGACUCAAGCCCCACGCUGUCCCUCGCAUGCAAAUAUUCUGUCCCUGAUUGUCACUACCUUUCACCCAGGGAAGUGGAGGUGACUGUCCGCAGCAUAAUGAAGAAGAAACGUAAGCAUGUGGAGAAAUGUGCCUGAGAGCAGAACCAGAUCUCCCGCUACUGUCUGUCCCUCAGACCACCACAGCUGCAAGAAAGAGGUGCCGAGGCCACCUCCGCCCUGUUGGAAGGAGAAGUGAAACACAAGCCACCAGCCCAAGAACAGAGAGAAGGAACUAGAGACUUUUAUGUUCCCCGAAGACCUCUGAUUGGUUUCCCUGAAGGAGAAAGCUAUAUUGAAAAUAAACUCCUGUCACAUCUCCUGGCAAUGUAGAGGUCUUGUGGGACAGCAGACAACAUUCCAGCCCUGCACCUGCUCUGUCCAAUGCCACCAGAGGGACUUUGUUACAGUAGACACUGCUGGGUCCUAGGUCCUCAGGAUAUCUCUGAAGCUGACUGUGCUUGGUCUGCUUUGUGUUGGUCUGGCUUCAAAGCAAACAGGCAAUCCGUCCUUGCAGCACGAUAAGACUUCCUUGUCCAGUCUGGCAUCCAGCCUUCUUCCAGUGUCCAAGGUUCUGUCAGCAAGGACGUUUGAGUCACUCCUUGGUUGAAACCCUGCCUGUGCCAUCUGCUUGCUGUGUGACCUUGGUAUCCAGCUAUAGAGACACCUCUGGAAGCUUCUCUCCUCGUCGCUCUCUACCCACCUCCAGUCUCUCUGGAAAGACUGCUAUAUCAGCCGCUCGCACAUUAGUCUAAGUCCCUGGGAUGCACUGAGUCUCCUGUCAGAGGCUAAUUUGCAUGACAUGCUGCUACACUUGCACCCAAAGAGUUCUUGCCAAUGUCACAGCGGUCUUUACAAGGUCUCUACGAGCCCCUUUGGUGAGCGAAGAAACAGAGUCAAGGAGAUGACAAAGUUUCUGAAGGUCACCCAGCAAAGCCCGAAAUGCCACUUUCUCUCUGGGGCUCAAGCCUCGAGUAAGUCUAGAGUCUUGGUAACAGCAUAGGACCCUCCCACCCCAUGCCUUCUUCCUAGAGUGAGGGCUGUCGGAACGUAGCACACAGUUUGCUUCUGCACAAGCACUCGCCAGAACUCCACUGGGUGCCGACGUAGAAAGUGAACUUGAAAUUCCACUCUCCUUUU
Molecule: long non-coding RNA, 1317 nt
Organism: Apodemus sylvaticus (European woodmouse)
Lineage: Eukaryota; Metazoa; Chordata; Mammalia; Rodentia; Muridae
Exons: 4
Source: RefSeq, a predicted model, not a curated record